Paramuricea clavata is the source of this 578-nucleotide non-coding RNA. Lineage: Eukaryota; Metazoa; Cnidaria; Anthozoa; Malacalcyonacea; Plexauridae. The record is from the annotation of a GenBank genome assembly.
UUUGAUUUUGAUUUUAUUUUGUUGUAAUAUAUAGGAACUGCCAUGUUCCUAUUGUAAUAAUUUGAAUGCCUGAUGAGCAUUAUGCUGGACCCCAUGGAGGCGUAAAAUACAGGGUGUAUUAAAAGACGAGACCUUAACUAUAUUCUUGUUAAGUGCAAGAUUUUCUACUCGUGCCAAUUUAAAAUAGCUUCCAAUCGUAUGAAGGGGCGUAACUGCAUAAAAAAUUGUCAAAUUACUAAUCAGUGAUAAGGCCAAAAAAAAUAUAUGUGGGUUUCCGGUUUCUUCUUAUAAAAACUUAGGUAGGGUAGGUCGGUUUUAACUUUUUUUUUUUAACUUUUUUUUAUUUUUUCGAAUAAGCGGACGCCAUUUUGUUUAGUCAGUGCUUCCACAUCCAAAGAUACAUUUCCCUAAUAUUGCCUCAAAUUUCAAUUUUCCACAAACUUUUUCCUCUAAGUGGAAACACUUACAAGCAUGAUCCAAUAAAAAAGUUUAGGGUCGGGAUUUCGACGUCCAAAAGCUAGGUAGGGUCGGGAAACCGGAAACCCACAUAUUUUCUUUUGGCCUAUUUUUCUAUUCUG